This 85-nucleotide transfer RNA is filed under the name Felis catus (domestic cat). It matches the Rfam family "tRNA". From Rfam's summary of the family: Transfer RNA (tRNA) molecules are approximately 80 nucleotides in length. Their secondary structure includes four short double-helical elements and three loops (D, anti-codon, and T loops). Lineage: Eukaryota; Metazoa; Chordata; Mammalia; Carnivora; Felidae. The record is from Rfam by way of RNAcentral.
GCCUGGGUGGCUCAGUCGGUUAAGCGUCUGACUUUGGCUCAGGUCAUGAUCUCGCGGUCCGUGGGUUCGAGCCCUGCGUCGGGCU